GCCCUCGCCCGCCCCCCGGGCCGGGGUGGAGCGCAAUGCGGGCGCCGCGGAGGCGGAGGCGCCAGGACGGCCGCGGCCAACUCUGCUCGAGCUGCUCACCUGCGCCCCUGCCCACAGCGCUCCGCAGUCUGGAGCGCUCCGCCCCGCGGGGAACGCCCCGGGCCCCUCGGGGUCCCCCGGUCUCUCCCACUUCCCUUCUGGAAGUGGCCAACGCUUCUGGGCCGCCCGGGUGGACCUCAAAGAGAACGUCUUUAAAUGUCCUGUGGCCAGGGGUUCUGUAACCGACUAGGAAUCAGCGUCCGAAUCGGAACAACUUCUCUAGACCUCUUUUCAGGGGGCGUCCAGUGAGUUUUUUUCAGCAAGGUGACUCCCCCUGUGACUGCCUGCUACUACAGCUGGAAAGGUCCAAUCUGAAAUGUGACUAAUCUGGGUUUCUUCACGAAGCAUGUGAAUUAGGGGUGGAGAACUAGAACCUAGAACCCUGAAUUCGGAGCCUGGAACAUAGGGGCCUCCUGUGGGCAGAAGUGCGGACAAGGAGCUUUGUUCCUCCCCCAUGUCACCCUCCCAUGGCCCACUUGCUAGCCAUGGUAAGGGGAAAGAGGGGUGGAGGCCGCAGGAAGGCAGGUAGUGAACUGGACCUCUGGUGGAAAGGCAUCACCCACGCUGGGCUUGACUAUGGAAAUGAUAAUUAGACAAAAAGCAAAUUCGAGCAAUUUUCUUAUUUGAGAAAGCAACAGAGACAACUCGCAACAUCAACAAUGCAUUUGGCCCAGGAACUGCUAACAAUCAUUCAGUGCAGUCAUGGUUCAAAACAUUUUGCAAAGCAGAUGAGAGCCUUGAAGAUAAGGAGCAUAGUGGCCAGCCAUCAGAAGUUGACAAUGACCAAUUGAGAACAAUCAUCCAAGCUGAACCUCAGGCAUUUGGCAUUUGAAGCAAAUUGGAAAGGUGAAAAAGCUCGGUAAGUGGGUGCCUCAUGACCUGAGCAAAAAUUUUUAAAAAUCAUCAUUUUGAAGUGUGAUCUUCUCCUAUUCUAUGCACAAUGAACCAUUUCUUCAUCAGAUUGUGACGUGCAAUGAAAAGUGGAUUUUACAGAAAAUGGUGGCAACCAGCUCAGUGGUUGGACUGAGAAACAGCUCCAAAGCACUUUGCAAAGCCAAACUUGCACCAAUAAAGGUCAUGGUCACUGUUUGGUGGUCUGCUGCUGGUCUGAUCCACUACAGCUUUCUGAAUCCUGGUGAAACCAUUACAUCUGAGAAGCAUGUUCAGCAGAUCGAUGAGAUGCACAAAAACCUGCAGCACCUGCAGUCGGCAUUGGUCAACAGAAGCGGCCCAGUUCUUCUCCACAACAACACUCAACUGCACAUCACACAACCAACGCUUCAAAAGUCAAACGAACUGGGCUACAAAGUUUUGCCUCAUUCACCAUAUUCACCUGACCCUUCGCCAACUGACUACCACUUCAAGCAUCUUGACAACUUUUUGUGGUGAAAAUGCUUCCACAAGGAGCAGGAUACAGAAAAUGCUUUCCAAGAGUUCAUAGAAUCCCGAAGCACAGGUUGUUUUGUUUGUUUGUUCUGUGACGGAGUCUC
This is a long non-coding RNA of Cercocebus atys (sooty mangabey), 1589 nucleotides long. RefSeq lists it as uncharacterized. NCBI's taxonomy places the organism in Eukaryota, Metazoa, Chordata, Mammalia, Primates, Cercopithecidae. The record is from RefSeq and is a predicted model, not a curated record. The transcript is spliced from 3 exons.